This 460-nucleotide ribosomal RNA is filed under the name uncultured bacterium. RNAcentral's name for it is "partial 16S ribosomal RNA". It matches the Rfam family "Bacterial small subunit ribosomal RNA", at positions 338 to 795 of the family's 1533-position model. The record is from RNAcentral.
CCUACGGGCGACAGCAGUGAGGAAUAUUGGUCAAUGGACGAGAGUCUGAACCAGCCAAGUAGCGUGAAGGAUGACUGCCCUAUGGGUUGUAAACUUCUUUUAUAAAGGAAUAAAACGAGGCACGUGUGCCUUUUUGCAUGUACUUUAUGAAUAAGGAUCGGCUAACUCCGUGCCAGCAGCCGCGGUAAUACGGAGGAUCCGAGCGUUAGCCGGAUUUAUUGGGUUUAAAGGGAGCGUAGAUGGGUUGUUAAGUCAGUUGUGAAAGGUUGCGGCUUAACCGUAAAAUUGCAAUUGAUACUGGCAGUCUUGAGUACAGUUGAGGUAGGCGGAAUUCGUGGUGUAGCGGUGAAAUGCUUAGCUAUCACGAAGAACCCCGAUUGCGAAGGCAGCUUACUAAACUGUGACUGACAUUGAUGCUCGAAAGUGUGGGUAUCAAACAGGAUUAGAUACCCGAGUAGUC